Zootermopsis nevadensis is the source of this 551-nucleotide long non-coding RNA. RefSeq lists it as uncharacterized. Lineage: Eukaryota; Metazoa; Arthropoda; Insecta; Blattodea; Termopsidae. The record is from RefSeq and is a predicted model, not a curated record.
GUGCCAGUCUGACUGCCACAAUCGAGUGAGUCGAGUUUAGUCGCGUGAGGUUUUCGUUCCAAGGUGCAGUGGUUAGGUACACGGUAAAUAGAAGAGUGGGUGGGGAGAACUCGAAGGGGGAGGGGAAGGUGGAAAACAAGUGCGAAGCGCUCAACAGCAGAAGCUUCAUCACAUACAGAGAGAGAUGCUGUGUGGGAUGCUGCGUUGGAGGGAAGGAGACGCAAGGCGACCCCCUGUGACCGACCCCGAAGAUGAUGUGAUGAGAGCAAUUCAGGGCGUUCUUUUCAACCAACCAGACCAAGCAAUGCGUGAGUCUUCGCUUGACCACAGAUCCAUCCUCCACCCUACAGGACCAGCCAGCAGACAAAGACAAAGUAAACGGGAGCAAGGCAGAAAAAGCAUUGGACAUGCCAAGCCACUUCAGUUAGAAGUCAAUUUUUGUGGACCAUUCACAGCUAUGCAGUGAGUGAAGCAUCUCUGAUGUGAUUAACUUUACAAUAAUGUAACUGUAGACCUUACAUUUUGUCUAUAAUAAAUGAACAUAAAAUCAA